This 267-nucleotide unclassified non-coding RNA is filed under the name uncultured bacterium. RNAcentral describes it as "contains 16S-23S intergenic spacer region". The record is from RNAcentral.
UUAGUGACGAACAUGACCUUAACACCCUCGCCCAAUUCUGCGGUGACGAGACCAUUUGCGAGCACGUCUACGUACCGCGAUUGGCGCAGGAUGCCGAAGAAGAGCAAUCCGUUAUCCAAGUGACUGACGCGCCGCGAUGGCCGGCCACCCGUGCCGACAGACCACAGAUCGAAAGUGCUCGGUUGCUCUUCCCCGGUACUCCAACCCAUAGCGAACUCACCGUAGCGCGUGAGUUCGGCUUCGCCGAGCGUGAGAUCAACAGCGGUG